Molecule: non-coding RNA, 645 nt
Organism: Talpa occidentalis (Iberian mole)
Lineage: Eukaryota; Metazoa; Chordata; Mammalia; Eulipotyphla; Talpidae
Source: the annotation of a RefSeq genome assembly
AUGGCCUGGUGCCCUCUGCUCCUCAUGCUCAUCUCUCAUUGCACAGGAUCCUGGGCCCAGUCUGUGCUGACCCAGCCACAGUCAGUCUCAGGGAACCUGGGCCAGAGGGUCACCAUCUCCUGCACUGGAAGCAGCAACAACAUUGGGAGUAAUUAUGUGAACUGGUACCAACAGCUCUCAGGAACAGCCCCCAAACUCCUGAUACAUGGUAGCAGCAAUCGACCCUCCGGGGUCCCUGAUCGAUCCUCUGGCUCCAAGUCUGGCAGCUCAGCCACCCUGACCAUCACUGGGCUCCAGCCUGAGGACGAGGCUGAUUAUCACUGUACAAGUUGGGACAGCAGCCUGAGUGGUCCCACAUGGAUGGGUGGUGGCACUAGAGGAACUGUCAUUUUUCCUUGCACUCAGACCCCAGGCCGCACUCUACACAUGCUGAUCUACAACACAAAUAACCGCCCCUCUGGAGUCCCAAAUCGCUUCUCAGGCUCCAUUUCUGGAAAUAAAGCCGCCCUCACCAUCAGUGGGGCUCAGACCAAGCAUAAGGCCGAGUAUCACUGUGUACUGUACAUGGGAGUUGACCAGGAGAGCCCCCAGCUCCCCAGCUCAGAGACUCCUGCACCCCAGGAAGACUUAUUCAAAGAGCACUAA